This 22-nucleotide non-coding RNA is filed under the name Arabidopsis thaliana (thale cress). The record is from RNAcentral. Lineage: Eukaryota; Viridiplantae; Streptophyta; Magnoliopsida; Brassicales; Brassicaceae.
GUGUAUGAUGUCCUUGGAGUGC